This 99-nucleotide signal recognition particle RNA is filed under the name Pseudomonadota bacterium. RNAcentral's name for it is "signal recognition particle sRNA small type". It matches the Rfam family "Bacterial small signal recognition particle RNA". Rfam says of the family: The signal recognition particle (SRP) is a universally conserved ribonucleoprotein involved in the co-translational targeting of proteins to membranes. Archaeal SRP consists of a 7S RNA and homologues of the eukaryotic SRP19 and SRP54 proteins. The record is from RNAcentral. Lineage: Bacteria; Pseudomonadati; Pseudomonadota. RNAcentral also lists the same sequence under 1 other name.
UGGCCGGCCUCAUGCAAGGCAGGCGCGCGAACCAGGCCAGACCCUGACCGGAGCAACCUUAAGCGAUGCCCUGCCGGUGCCGUGAAUCGUCGGUCGCUC